Molecule: ribosomal RNA, 459 nt
Filed under: uncultured bacterium
Lineage: Bacteria
Description: partial 16S ribosomal RNA
Rfam family: Bacterial small subunit ribosomal RNA
Source: RNAcentral
CCUACGGGGUGCUGCAGUGAGGAAUAUUGGUCAAUGGGCGUAAGCCUGAACCAGCCAAGUCGCGUGAGGGAUGAAGGGUCUAUGGAUCGUAAAACUCUUUUAUAAGGGAAUAAAGUGUGGGACGUGUCCUAUUUUGUAUGUACCUUAUGAAUAAGGAUCGGCUAACUCCGUGCCAGCAGCCGCGGUAAUCCGGAGGAUCCGAGCGUUAUCCGGAUUUAUUGGGUUUAAAGGGUGCGUCGGCGGACUGUUAAGUCAGCGGUAAAAGCCCGGGGCGCAACCCCGGAGAGCCGUGGAAACUGGCUGUCUUGAGAUGUCGAGAGGUAUGCGGAAUGCGCAGUGUAGCGGUGAAAUGCUUAGAGAUUGCGCAGAACUCCGAGUGCGAAGGCAGCAUACCGGCGGCGAUCUGACGCUGAGGCACGAAAGCGUGGGUAUCGAACAGGAUUAGAUACCCCGGUAGUC